UGGCAGUGGCCCUGGGGAUGCGGAGUUGCUGAGGUGCCAUGCCAGCAGUAGUCACUGAGAAACUGCCCUCUUGAGUGUCAGAGGGACGUCACUAAUGGAGAGAUGCCCACACAAGUCCCACUUGGAAUUUGUUACCGGAAAUGGCACAUUGGGAAACCUCCCUCUUGGUGUCAGGGAAUGUCCUGCACCACCAGCUGCCACACACUGCAGGAGCCUACUGAGAGCGAGCACAGGCUGGCCCAGGAUGAUGAACCCAUUCCUCUGCUAGGUUCCCGCCACACCACCAGCUGCCACACACUGCAGGAGCCUACUGAGAGUGAGCACAGGCUGGACCCAAGAGGAAGAACCCAUUCCUCUCCUAGGUUCCCACGAGUGCCUUCUGCCAACGAAGCUUAAUGGCAUGCCAACUGUCCAAGGAGAAAGGAUGAGAAGCCACAAGCAGGACAAUACAGGUUUCCUUGGAGCCAAGAGGCAAUAGAUUGAACAAAUCUACAUAGGAAGUUGUGGAAGCAGCGACGAGUGUGGUUUGAGGGUCUUCCUGCAAAGAACAGUAUCAUAGGACCAUGGAGGGAGAAGAACUGUGCCCUAGGAAUGGUACUUCACACAUCAUACCCAGAAGGCUAAACUGUUGCUAUAACAGGAGACUUGGGAAAGAAACAGUACCCAGCUCAAAUGUCUGUGAAAAGUUGAUGCUUUCUUAAAGAAGAAGUGGGACUCCCCUUGUCAGUUUGUGAGGCUAUCCAUAAUGAAACCAAGAAAGGGUUGUGUUGUGAGGUGUCUUGCUUUUAAUUGGAAAACGCUGAAAUGAGGGCCAAUGCAGGAAAGUGUAAAGAAGCCCAUUGAUUUCACUUGUAAGCACAUUGGAGGAGAACAGACAAUUGAAGGACUCCAGGUGCAAGGUCUGAAGAAUUCAAGAGCAGUCCUGGGAGCGGAAAGUCAAUGUCCUGCCACUUGAUUUAUUUAGUCACUGAAAUGUACCCAGCAAGUUGUGGUGUCGGGUACUGUCUUAGGGGUUUAAAAUCCAAAGACAUGAAGACAUCUCUUUGAGGCUUACUGGUUACAGCUCUGGAAACGUUAGGGAAGCAAUCAGUUAAAUCAGAAACUUAAUUUCUUGCAAGAAAGGAGCCAAAUAGCCCCAUGGAUUUGAUAAAUCAAUCUACUGCAAAAAGGCGUAAAGUGUAAACUGAAGUUGAUCACUAGAGAGAUUACAAAUCAUUACUGGCCCUUGGGCAUUCACAAGAAGCCAGGUACUUGAGGCCCUGGUAUGAGGUAUGAGGGGCCCGAGUUUGCAUCUAUUUUCAUAUCCUGAAGACUGUCUCUUAGAGAUUGUAUCCCUAGUGCUAAUCAAAAGGAGAUCACAUUUCUAGAUUCACAGUUAUUUCCAGCAUUGGUCAAAAUGCCAAUGAGUGCUAGUGACUAUACCUUUCAGGACAGCUAGGGAACAUACGUUGAGCAGAACAGAGAAAACAGAAAGUACGACAGAGGACAGGUAAAGAGUGGAGAGGUAAGAAAACAUGCCUUGCCAUGUCAAAUGAUCACAAGGAGCAUUAAUUAUCUGCAAGAAGUCAAGAGUAAUUUAGUCCUGGCACUACCAACAUGGUCCUUCCUACUGCCACUCCUUCUAGAAUAGGGGCUUUGCUCCCACUAAUCCUGAAAUAAGAUAAAGCUGGGUUUGAAUCCCAGCUUUUCCAACCACUAACUAUGUGUUUUAAAGCUUUAAUUUCAUCACAAGUGAGUUGGAGAACACAGUAAUCACUUCAAAUUAGUUAAAUUUUAUAACCUACAUAAAAUUUGAAGCACUGGUAGGAAAGAAUUGCCAGAUAAAUAGUGGUUGGAAAAAACAAAACAAAACUCUAUUUGCUAAAUGAUUGCAGGUAUGUGGUUCUAGCAGAUUCAAGACUAUGUUUUAUAGCAAAGUUGACAAAAUAUAUAGUGAGAUGAAGACAUAUUUCCAUUUAAGUCAUUGCUGGGCACUUCUGCCUCUGGUCUGUACAUUUACAAUAUUGCGACAUCUUCCAGUGUAAAUGAAUGUUUCUUUAGAAGAUGUGAGUACAUAAAAAACAUAAAUAGCUUCUAAAUUCAUUAAGAAUAAAUCACUUUUCUCUUAAAACAUAUCGUUCAGAUCUGAGAUAAAAUUGUUUGCCAAGUAUCUUGCCAUGUUUUGGCCAGCCGCACAAAUGUUCUCUGCUAUUCUCUGCUAAAUAGGGUAGCAUUUCCCCUCCCUUUCUUCUAGGACACGUGACCACAUCAUGCUCAAGCAUGUAGAAUUCCCUCUGAGCCUCAUUGAAUCACCGAAGGCCAAUCAACCUUAACACCAAUAGAGUACAGCACAAACCUCUGUAGAACAAUACGUCCCAGCUGCAAAGACUAUAAGCUCCAUGGAACAGAUAUCAAGCCUCGAGGCCAUAACACAAGGUGCAUGAAGGGACUCCUGACCAGGAAGAGCAAUGACCAGAACAGGAAGAUUCCUGGGUAGUGCCAUGUCUACUUGGAUCCAAUCCAAGGGAUCAUUAUUGUUUCUCAGUGUACAUUUUUUCAACACUUCCCUUGGAUAAUAGCCACUUGUUCAUGUAAUUGGGUCAUUAACCAACAGUAGUCCUCUCACAAAUAAUAAUGAAUAGCAAUGGCAAUGAAUGUACUGUUAACGGUAGUUGAAAACUUCAGAUAGAAAUUGAGUGUUGAUCAGUAGUUGACUGGGCUUGUAGUUCACAAAUCAUCUCCAAAUACUCCACUGAGGGAUAAUUUUAUGUAGCCAAGGGACUAAUAUUAAAACCUGAAUCAACUACUCGUAGCUACAGUUUACUCAAUUUUUCUCAGUUUAGAGAAAGAUUGGUCUCAAUAAGGUGAUGAGUUCUAGCCCCAUUUCUACCACUUGCAUUCUGUAUGACUUGGAAAUGUCACGCUUCCUUUUGUCUUAGAAACACAGUGUGUGUGUGCAUGACUUUCAGGAGAAACAAUCAGCAUCAGGAUCAUAUUUUGAACUUAUCUGGAGAAGUUUGAAGCAAAUUUAUUUGAGAUUUGGCAAUGUAGAGUCUUCUCUCAUGGACCCACCCACUCUCUUCCCUCCAGGGCAAUCAUGACUCACACCCAAAUUAUUUGUUCUUGGGAAUAUCUUUUUCUCUUGAUCCCUUUUAACUUCCUUUGAUCUACUUUAAUCAACUUAAUAUCCUUAACUGUUUUUUAUCUGGAGACAUUCAUUGCAUCUAUUUCUCCUGAUACAGACUUUUCCCUGUCUGCUGCUUUCAUUUCCUCACAUAUUCUGGACCAAAAUAAGAGGAUGUUGCAUGUGAGCUAAGAGGGGGAGCUAUGUUUCUCUGAGAAAUGAAUACUCUUAUCCAUGACGUUCUAAUGGGGUAUUUUUGGACUUUGAUAUUUUCUUGACUAAUCACUCACAAAUAGAUUUUCUCAUGAUUUUCUUUUUCUUUUAAGGGAAAACUGGAAUAGUCUUUUAUAUAUUAAGCUAACACUGGCCUAAUCUAUAAUAUAUCUAUAUUGAAAUGGAACUUUUUUUUAACUGAUAAAGUUAACUAGUUAACAUACUUUCGGUAUGGUUGUGCCCAAAAAAUAACGUGAUCUUAAUCGUCUAAGUACAGCAGAUGGUGAGCUUUACUCGCGAAUGAAUUUGUUCUGAUUAAAAAGAAACCAACCCUAUGUGCACGCAUCUAUCCAUUGUUUAGCAGCACAUUUUCUGCUCACAUCUGGAAAUAUUGAGAUAGUAGCUGCUCUAGAACAUUCCAGCGGCAGGGACACAGCACAGGAGGAAGACACGGGACGGAGAUACAGACUCAAUCAUGCUCUUCUAAAAUGAAAUUGAUUCAGCCACUUGAUGUUAAGAAAUUGCUUUUGUGAGUUACAAAAUUUCCUUCACUGGCCGCAGAAUGACUGACUAUGAAAGCUGUAGGUUUUUCAGGGCACACGGACUGAAGAAAGCCUUCCACUGCCUUGAGUGUGCAGAGAUUUCCUGUUUUGUUCCUUGCACCAAUCUUCUGACGAGCACUGUGAGCAACUGAGAUCUGCAGAUAUCCUUGCAGGGAGUUCUCUUUCGGGCUUACAUGGAGUUACUUAGACAUCUGGAAGGAGUAGGUGUCAAACCACAAAUAAAACUUUCCUUGACUCAUGGGGAGAAAGGUAGCGAUUUCCCCUUGACCUCAUUAACUGAAACUACCAGUGCCGCUGUUCCGGCGUCAAACUUCAUUCUUCAGAAUGCGCUUCUCCAUUUAAGGGCUUUACCUUUUGUAUUUGUUCAGUGUUUAACUCUGCAAAUUUAACCGAAGCCUUUCAGUGGCAUGUUUUCAUCUUAAACUAAUAAUAAGUAAGGGUCAUAGCUACAUAAUUUACUCUCCAUGGGACCUCACACAGGGACACUAACAGAUAAAUGCUUGAUGAUGCUGUUGAGGCUGAUUGAUACUAUUAGUUUUAUUUUCUUUCUCAUGGCAAACACAAAUGACUCCUCCAUCCAGCACUCUCUGUUCUUUUUAAUCUUUAUACUUUGACCAUAGAAGCAUGCAUUUGUCGUGUCAGGUAGGUAGUUGGAGUAAAAGUAAUUUGCCAUUGGCUCUCAAUUUAAAAUGAAUUCAUGAAAAAGGAGAGCUGCAAACUACUCAAUCUGACUGCAAAGUGGUAUUUUGUUUGUACACUUAACUCCCCAGAUAUAAGUGGAAGCAUCGUCCCUCCUGCAUUUAUUUCCCCCAUGACACUAAUUCUUUAUAGCAAAACAAAGAGUUUGUGAGUUCAUAGAGCAGGGCUUUCCUAUCUGUAGACAUCCAGUAACGUCCCUUUCCAUACUUCAUCCCAAAUUAAACAGAGUCUCCUUCCUGGUUUGCUCAUGUGCAUAUUGAAUUAGGAAACAAUCCUUCACUACCAGCCUCCCCAUCUUAAUGCAAUCCAGUCAGAGCUGAGAUAAUUAACAACACUCAUUGCUCUAACUUAGUUUUUGCAUUUUUUUCCUCCAUGCAAAUCUUCUUUCAUCUAGUUGUUCCUUAUUGGUUCAUUCCAUUAAGCAUGUGCAAAGUGGCUCCGGUAGUCAUAACACUGACCCAAGUCCCCGGGAAUAAAAAAAGAAAGAAAAACAAACAAAACUAGAAUCUCUGGGGAAGCACACAGGAGUGCAGGGGAGAAACAGAACACAUUUAUUUUAAAUACAUAGAUGCAGAAUUAAGCUAGUACAACACACCAUUAUAUAAAUAAUAUGCAUGAGUGCUAUAGGAAUGCAAAGUGAGAAAAUGUUUGCUAUGAGCCAUGUGUGAGCAAAGAGAGGUCACUUGGAGGAGAUGGCUCUUAUGCUGAAUUUCAGUGAAGAAUUAGUGAAGGAAAAAAAAAAACAGAAAAAUGUCGAAGUUUGGGAGAAUCCAAUGAGUAAAAGAACAUGGUUUGAAACAAGUAUAAUAUGAACGAUAGUAGGAAAGUUGGUCAUGCAGACAUUCGGAUAAUUAUUUCCUUCCUCUUUAUGCAGUAAGUUGCAUUUUUACAGAGCCUGAAGGCUCAACUUAAAAAAAUAUAUAUUCAGAGUCAAAUGUAUUUGCAUAUGUCUUAUUUCUUAAGAAUAGUGUUUUAUCUAAAGAUUGAUAAGAUGGUUUUUCUGACAUCUUAAAGAUUUUUUUAAUAGAAAACUUUACUGUAAGUUUGGUUUAUAAUGUGAAAUACAACUCCAUCUUCUUUGGAGUCUGAAUAUAGUCUCCCUCUCUUCAUUCACAAGUGAAUGAGAAAUGUGCUAACUUCUGCUCUUACAAAUCCCAUUUAGUGGGUGUUUCUAGUUAAACCACUUAACAACCUCAUUUAUUUUGUGGUGACCAUCAAGUACAGCAACAAUGCACACUAGUUCUUAAAUUAAGUAACCCUUAUUUGCAAAGUACAGAAGGUAUCAAGCAUGUAACCUCAUGACAUCACUCUUGUAUGAAUAGACUUGCUGCACUGCGUAAGUACACGUAUAGGACAAGUUAAAUAACUAAAUGCACUGUCGAAGCAUCGUGUUAUUGGCUAUCAAAUCAGUAAUACAGAAAGUCAGAAACCAAACUCGGAAGAAGCGAGACCUGCCUCCAAGGCAGAAAAUGGAGACAGAGAAGAACAUUUGGUCAAGAAGAGGACUGAGAAAUGCCUGUUUUUAGAGAAACAGAAGACAUGGGUCCACAAUGCACAGGAUUAGGGUCAGAAAAACAUGAGAAAGACUACCUGACUUUCUACAUUUUCAUUGACUACAUGGAAAUUAUGAUAUCACCUUUCCUUGCUUUGCAAAGGUUUUAUAAAAUUGUGGUAAUGAGCUCAUUCUGAAAAUGACCUCUCCUGAAUUCUCCACAGCACUGUGCAAAUUUUAAGUGCGUGUAGAAGAUAGAAAAAAAAAAAAGUUAUUCAAACCAGGGAGAAGAUUCAUUAAGGCUUUGAGUAUAGUUUUUCUUCUCCCUAACAGUGGAGUGUGGCAUAUUCAUAGGAAGAAACUGAGUAUAAAUUUCCUGGAGUCCUAAAAGCCAGAAUCUAAACAAAGAACUACGAAUGGAAGUGCCUUAUUUUACGAUUCUCUAUUCCUCCGCCUUCUGACUCUUGCCUUUUCAACAUUCCCAGCCCUCUGACAACUGAGAGAGAAGGGCUUCCAUGCUCAGAGACCAGGAGGGCCUUCAGGCUUCAGUGAAUGUCCCACUUUGUCCUUUUCUGACCUAUUUGAAAGUCAAGGGUUGUAUAUUCAAUUAGGACAUAACUGUUGAGCCACUAAAAUCCCACUGUACAUUCUCCACCUUCCUCUGCUUUGUAUCUUUUCAUAAUCAGCAGGGAAGAAAAGUAUGCUUCACUGCUACCAUGGGGUGCUCUCAACAAUAUUUUUUCUGAACAAAAUAAAAAUAUAUUAAUAGAUAAGCAAGAAAAUGGGGCCACCAUAAUGUUAAGUAAAGACAGUAUGAUCCCCAGUAAGAGAUUUGAGGAUAGCUCCUUGUCCCUUUCACUGUUCCAUCCUGAUAUCUCUGCCAUUUGUACCUGCUCUGUAUGGAUAUUGGCCUGGGUGUUUAAUCUGUCUCUUCAUCUUUGAAGUUUCAUCCACAAGAAGUUACUUUAUCAGUGAACUUAAAUUUCAACCUCUAAACAUGUUACAGAAUCAAAUUAAACUACAGAUAAUUUUGUUCUGAAAACUGAGUGUCAUCUGUAAUUGCAAUACUGAUAGGGGGAAAACACCCUAAUUUUAAGCCCUUUGUUAUGAAUCCAUAUCUUCUCUGUGAAAUCAGAGUGUCAGUCUUGCAUCUCGUGGAACCAAAUAAAAAAAAUGUAUCAUGCAGUUAGACAGGAUAUGACACUGACUCAAUAAGGCAUUGGGGUGUGUAAAAAAAUCACUGGUAAAGGGAAAAAGUAUGAAAGUAAUAUUGGCUGACAUUUUCUUGUUAUUAGUGUUCUUUUUAAUAUCUAGCAUUUUAUGCCACUUUAUUUUGCUUCAGAGUCUUAUGAUCAAUAACAUAUAAACAAAUCCCGGAUUAGGAACUCACAUUCUGUAUUUUAAAUGUCUGAUUUCUAAUUUGCUGAUCUACUUUCUCUGUUCUCUUCAUUUGAUUAUUUGCCUAAUUAUAUAGUUUAACCUAUAAGGCUUUUCUAAAUAAGACAUGUUAAAUACAGUUGUAUUGCUGUAAUGAAAACUUAGUUGCAAAAGGAUAGAGUUAGCUAAGUCUGUGCCAUAGUUUUGCGCAGAGUGCAGGGUCCUAUGUGUCACUUCAUUUCACAUUUGUGGUUGUUUAACAAAUAAUAAAAUUUGUUUUGCCAGUACAUUACAUUUUAGGAUUGCAAAAAUUAUCUGUUGGAAUUUUUACGUGAAAGCGAUUUUUAAUUUUUUGCUAUAUUGUGUUCAUCUUAGUUUCUUUAUUCCUAAAUACCUAACUUGGAAUCUUCAUAUUUUCUGUCCUCAAUAGUUUAACUUUUUAACACCUAAGUAUAUAGAUAAAUACAAAACUUUCAAAAGAUUUUAUCAAAAUGACUUUAUUUUGUUAUAAUAGUUGUUACAUGAAACUAUCCAUAAUUUUUCAAGAUAAAACAGUGACUUUCCUAAAUAUACAUGUAAAGUAGUCUUUACUCUUUCAGAAAUGACCCCUUUUACAGGAAUUUCUCCUUGAAAUGUAUAUAGUAAGUUUAGCAAUGUCUAAAUACUUUUAGUCCCAAAACAAGAUAUAGCCUUACAAAAUAUCUUAUGAUUUUUGUUAUGCAUAAUUUUACAAAUAUAUUUAAAAUGCUCUACAAAGCAGUGCUCUACUAUUUAUACUAUAAUCAAUAAAUG
Molecule: long non-coding RNA, 8239 nt
Filed under: Homo sapiens (human)
Lineage: Eukaryota; Metazoa; Chordata; Mammalia; Primates; Hominidae
Description: HSALNT0158762
Source: RNAcentral